AUAAUAACCAGGACAAGGAAAAUUAAGCAGGUAAACUGUUCAGAGAGCCGCCGGUAGGUGCAAGGCGGUCAGCACAACUGCCCAACUCACCUUCGAGUUGCCCGGCAUAAAAAAUCGGGCCGGUUUUCGACCGUUAUCAGAAUUAAGUGGGUAUAUUUUACCAAUUAGGGUGGUACCGCGGGAGAUGCCUCUCGUCCCUUUU
RNAcentral lists this non-coding RNA (202 nucleotides) under Desulfofarcimen acetoxidans. RNAcentral describes it as "Desulfotomaculum acetoxidans T-box sequence". It matches the Rfam family "T-box leader". Rfam says of the family: Uncharged tRNA acts as the effector for transcription antitermination of genes in the T-box leader family. Lineage: Bacteria; Bacillati; Bacillota; Clostridia; Eubacteriales; Peptococcaceae. The record is from RNAcentral.